GAUGAACGCUAGCGGCAGGCUUAACACAUGCAAGUCGAGGGGUAUUGGUUUUCGGACCAAGAGACCGGCGCACGGGUGCGUAACGCGUAUGCAAUCUACCUUUUGCAGAGGGAUAGCCCAGAGAAAUUUGGAUUAAAUACCUCAUAGUAUAGUACUUUGGCAUCAAGGAACUAUUAAAGUCAUAACGGCAAAAGAUGAGCAUGCGUCCAUUAGCUAGUUGGUAAGGUAACGGCUUACCAAGGCUACGAUGGGUAGGGGUCCUGAGAGGGAGAUCCCCCACACUGGUACUGAGACACGGACCAGACUCCUACGGGAGGCAGCAGUGAGGAAUAUUGGACAAUGGGCGCAAGCCUGAUCCAGCCAUGCCGCGUGCAGGAUGACGGUCCUANGGAUUGUAAACUGCUUUAUACAGGAAGAAACACUACUUCGUGAAGUAGCUUGACGGUACUGUAAGAAUAAGGAUCGGCUAACUCCGUGCCAGCAGCC
This 486-nucleotide ribosomal RNA is filed under the name uncultured bacterium. RNAcentral describes it as "bacterial SSU rRNA". It matches the Rfam family "Bacterial small subunit ribosomal RNA", at positions 28 to 516 of the family's 1533-position model. The record is from RNAcentral.